CUACCGGUGCCAUGCAGCCACAGUGAGCGGCUGCUGUUUGCGGCCUCCACGUCGGUAAGCCUGGGGGACGGCAGGACGGCCUCCUUCUGGAUGGACAGUUGGCUACAGGGCCAGGCACCCUACGUCGUCGCGCCGGAGAUCUUUCGCCUCUCCAGGCGAAAAAACCGCUCAGUGCGCCAGGCGCUGAUGGGGAACCGAUGGGUGGCUGACAUGUCCGGUAGAAUCACGACCGAGCUGCUUCCUUCUUUCGUUUCGCUCUGAGGACGGAUCAGCGAGAUGGACAUCUCUGAGACCGGUGAUGAUGUGUUCACCUGGAAGCUCGAGGCCUCAGGCAUCUACUCGGCGUCGUCGGCAUAUCGGCUGCAGUUUAUGGGGUCGACCUCGUCGCCUAUCAUGAAAUCCGUGUGGCGCGCCUGGGCGCCGUCGAAGAUCAAGCUCUUCUCAUGGCUCCUGUCCAUCAAACGGCUGCUCACGGCAGACCGACUCAUGGCCAGGGCGUGGCCAAACUCCUACUUCUGUCCACUUUGCUGGCGUAGCCUGGAAACGGCGGAUCACCUGUUCAGGGAGUGUCCGUGGUCGAUGCAACUGCGGGAGAUGGCGGCUGGCCGUUUCGGCAUCGCCUCUUUUCUUCCAAGUUCCUGGAGGCCUUUCCGGGCAACGGAGGAUUGGCUUGAAGACCUUAGCUCCGGCUCCUCUAGCCCUAGGCGAGCUCGAUCGAUCGCACUUCUCAUCGUCUGGUCGAUUUGGCUAGAGAGGAACGGCCGCAUCUUCAAGGAAGUCGAGCGGCCGAUAGGGAUGGUGUUCGAGUGGAUUACGGAUGAACUAGCAACCUGGGUUCAGGCGGGGGGACGACACCUGAUGCCGCGAGAGUAG
This 873-nucleotide ribosomal RNA is filed under the name Triticum aestivum (bread wheat). RNAcentral's name for it is "partial small subunit ribosomal RNA". The record is from RNAcentral. Lineage: Eukaryota; Viridiplantae; Streptophyta; Magnoliopsida; Poales; Poaceae.